AGCUUUAACCAUCAAUAGCUCAGUUGGUACAGCAUGAGACUCUUAAUCUCAGCGUCGUGGGUUUGAGCCCCAGCUUGGGCAA
Molecule: non-coding RNA, 82 nt
Organism: Podarcis lilfordi (Lilford's wall lizard)
Lineage: Eukaryota; Metazoa; Chordata; Lepidosauria; Squamata; Lacertidae
Source: the annotation of a GenBank genome assembly